RNAcentral lists this ribosomal RNA (463 nucleotides) under uncultured bacterium. RNAcentral describes it as "SSU rRNA". It matches the Rfam family "Bacterial small subunit ribosomal RNA", at positions 28 to 487 of the family's 1533-position model. The record is from RNAcentral.
GAUGAACGCUGGCGGCGUGCCUAAUACAUGCAAGUCGAACGAAGCAACUUCGGUGCUUUAGUGGCGAACGGGUGAGUAACACGUAGGUAACCUACCCCAAAGUUGGGAAUAACAGUUGGAAACGACUGCUAAUACCGAAUAAGUAACAAUUAAGACAUCUUAAAGUUAUGAAAGAACCUAAGGGAUCGCUAUGGGAGGGGCCUGCGGCGCAUUAGUUAGUUGGUGAGGUAAAAGCUCACCAAGACAGUGAUGCGUAGCCGGACUGAGAGGUUGAACGGCCACACUGGGACUGAGACACGGCCCAGACUCCUACGGGAGGCAGCAGUAGGGAAUUUUCGGCAAUGGGGGAAACCCUGACCGAGCAACGCCGCGUGAACGAAGAAGCACUUAGGUGUGUAAAUUCUUUUAUAAGGGAAGAAUGGCUAAUGUAGGGAAUGACAUUAGAAUGACGUACCUUUUGAAU